AGGUUAAGUUAAUAAGGGCGCAUGGUGGAUGCCUUGGCACUAGAAGGCGAUGAAGGACGUGACUAACUACGAUAUGCCUCGGUUAGCUGUAAGUAAGCUUACCCGGGGGUUUCCGAAUGGGGCAACCCGAUCUUAAUGAUCAUCAUCUUUUUGAAUUCAUAGAUUAGAUGAAGCAAACGCUGUGAACUGAAACAUCUCAGUAGCAGUAGGAAAGUAAAGAAAUUUCGAUUCCGUCAGUAGCGGCGAGCGAACGCGGAAGAGCCCAAACCUGGAUGCUUGCAUCCAGGGGUUGUAGGACUGAUGUUGAGUUACAAAGGUAUAAGAUAGCAGAAACAGUUGGGAAGCUGUUCCAAAGAGGGUGACAGGCCCGUAUGCGAAAUCUUGUACUCUCUAAUCAGGAUCCUGAGUACGGCCCAGCACGUGAAAUUGGGUCGGAAUCUGGGAGGACCAUCUCCCAAGGCUAAAUACUAACUAGUGACCGAUAGCGAACAAGUACCGUGAGGGAAAGGUGAAAAGAACCCCGGAAGGGGAGUGAAAUAGUUCUUGAAACCGUGUGCUUACAAGAAGUUCGAGGCCGUUAAUGGCUGAGAGCGUGCUUUUUGUAGAAUGAACCGGAGAGUUACGAUUGCGUGCAAGGUUAAGGUGCAAAGACUGGAGCCGUAGCGAAAGCGAGUCUUAAUAGGGCGAAUCAGUACGUAGUUGUAGACCCGAAACCGAGUGACCUAUCCAUGGUCAGGUUGAAGGUGGGGUAAUACCUACUGGAGGACCGAACAAGUGGGUGUUAAAAAACCCUUUGAUGAACUGUGGAUAGCGGUGAAAUUCCAAUCGAACUCGGAGAUAGCUGGUUCUAUCCGAAAUACAUUUAGGUGUAGCCUUGCAAUUAGCUUACUGGAGGUAGAGCACUAUUUGGUCUAGGGGCCCUUCAAGGGUUACCAAAAUCAGAUAAACUCCGAAUGCCAGCUAAGUAUGUGCAGGAGUCAGACGGUGAGUGAUAAGAUCCAUCGUCGAAAGGGGAACAGCCCAGAUCACCAGUUAAGGUCCCUAAAUAUAUGCUAAGUGGAAAACGUUGUGAAGGUGCAUAGACAACUAGGAGGUUGGCUCAGAAGCAGCCACCCUUUAAAGAGUGCGUAAUAGCUCACUAGUCGAGUGCUCUUGCGCGGAUAAUGUACCGGGGCUAAGCAUAUUACCGAAACUGUGGAUGCGUAAGCAUGGUAGGAUAGCGUAAUUAACGCGAUGAAGGAUGACCGUAAGGACAUGUUGGAGCGUUAACUAGUGAGAAUUCCGGUAUGAGUAGCGAAAGAUAGGUGAGAAUCCUAUCCACCGAAUGAGUAAGGUUUCCCCCGGAAGGCUCGUCCGCGGGGGGUUAGUCGGGACCUAAGGCGAGGCUGAAAAGCGUAGUCGAUGGACAACAGGUUGAUAUUCCUGUACCGAUAUUUAAUUGCCGAAGGAAGGACGCAGAAGGAUAACACAGGCCACUAUUGGA
Molecule: ribosomal RNA, 1483 nt
Filed under: Oenococcus oeni
Lineage: Bacteria; Bacillati; Bacillota; Bacilli; Lactobacillales; Lactobacillaceae
Description: bacterial LSU rRNA
Rfam family: Bacterial large subunit ribosomal RNA
Source: RNAcentral